AGGACUAGCGGCGGACGGGUGAGUAACACGUGAGUAACCUGCCUUAGACAUUGGGAUAGCCUCGGGAAACCGGGAUUAAUACCAAAUAAAAUCAUAAUGACACAUGUCAUAACGAUCAAAACUCCGGUGGUCUAAGAUGGACUCGCGUCCCAUUAGCUAAUUGGUAGAGUAAAAGCCUACCAAGGCGACGAUGGGUAGCCGGCCUGAGAGGGUGAACGGCCACAUUGGAACUGAGAAACGGUCCAA
Molecule: ribosomal RNA, 246 nt
Filed under: uncultured Eubacteriales bacterium
Lineage: Bacteria; Bacillati; Bacillota; Clostridia; Eubacteriales
Description: uncultured Clostridiales bacterium partial 16S ribosomal RNA
Rfam family: Bacterial small subunit ribosomal RNA
Source: RNAcentral